CAAAAGCCCAACAAAAACAACAGUCCACCAUACCUUAAUCCAAUUCCACUCUCAAAUUAUUUUAUCCAGUUUUUAUUAUUAUUACUUAAUAGAAAAAUUAGAAAGAGUAAUUUAGGGUUAAAAUUCGGUGAGACGGUUGAACUUCUUUGUCUUCUCUCAUCAACCGCGCGGCGACUUCUUCUCUCCUAUUGCAACAAUGAUCUCCUCCUUCGAUCUCUCCGUCUAAAAGCUUCACCCUGUUGCUACGAUUCCGUCCGACCUCGAUGUCCUCCAUCAGACGCCAAUUCACGGUUCUAUCUCACUCUCCCCCACCGUCUGUUCAUCUCAACGGCACAAUUUGCUUCAGAGACUAGCAUUUGA
This is a non-coding RNA of Vicia faba (fava bean), 360 nucleotides long. Lineage: Eukaryota; Viridiplantae; Streptophyta; Magnoliopsida; Fabales; Fabaceae. The record is from the annotation of a GenBank genome assembly.